RNAcentral lists this unclassified non-coding RNA (525 nucleotides) under Hevea brasiliensis (rubber tree). Lineage: Eukaryota; Viridiplantae; Streptophyta; Magnoliopsida; Malpighiales; Euphorbiaceae. The record is from RNAcentral.
UUGUUGGUGGUGAAAAAAGUGGAUCCCAGACUUUUGAUGUUAAGGCUAUUGAGAAUAUUCCACCAAGUCUUCCUCUCCAAAGUCCUGGACUUGCAGAUGAGCACAUGACAUCCAAUUCAAUGCCUGUUGAAAAGAUUGAUAAGCUAGACACAGUUCCAGCUGUACUUACGUGUGAAGACCUUGAACAGUCAAUUCUGUCAGAAAUUACUGAAAAUGGCUCAAUGCUGCAGCCUCCUUUGCUGGGCUGGAGUGGUUCUGGACCAAAGACUGAACAUCAGAAAGCCGAUAUUGAUGAUCAUGCAUCACAGCACCUUCUUUCAUUGUUGCAGAAGGGUGCUGGUCUGUCAACUGAUUUUGAAAUCAUAUGUUCAGACGCGCAACAAAAUAUGGAAUCUGAGAAUCUUGGCGCUGUGCUCUCUAAUUCCAGAGAGAUACACACCGAGAACAUUCACAAUGCAGGCAAGCCUUUGACUCUUGAAAUGCUUUUUGGAACCGCUUUCAUGAAGGAAUUGCAGCCAGUAGGAA